Labrus bergylta (ballan wrasse) is the source of this 1434-nucleotide non-coding RNA. The record is from RefSeq and is a predicted model, not a curated record. Lineage: Eukaryota; Metazoa; Chordata; Actinopteri; Labriformes; Labridae.
GACCUUUUCUCGUUUCCAGUAUUUUUGGGAGCAUUGAGGUCAAGAAUUUCAACUCCCAAAGGAUGAAAAGUCUGAAUGUUGUUCUCAUCACACAGGAGAAAAAUGUGUCAAAUUGUUCAAAUGCAUCGUUUAAGGAUUUACAGAAGGAGCUGGAUGGAGGCAUUAAAUAUAACUGCAAAGAGGUGUCAGAAGCUCAGCUCCAGUGGUGCAGCUCGAGCCCAGAGACCCCCUGUGGAUCCUGUUGGUGAAAACUAUCAGACGAUUCUGUCGGACAAGGAAAGACGAAACAAUCACCAGCACUAGUAGAACAUUUGUAUAAAGUCUUAGUUUCUUUGUGAUAUCUUUGUAAUUUAAAUAAUGUGUUUUUUGGACCUGUGGGCCAGUUUGACUUGAUGUGAAAUCUGUCUUUGCACGAUUGGUAGCAAUUUAUUUUCCCAAGAUGACAAGGUUUUUGUACAUUUCAGCAAAAAAUUUCUGUACAUCUUUAAUGAAAUUUCUAUGCCUUUAAGAAAAGUAAAGUUGGGGAAAACUGUAUAGUAUUGCUGUCACUAUUUUGUUGUUGUUGUCUGUGCGGGUGCUCCGUCAUCCAGGUCAUGGUCAGUUCAAAACCUGAGCCAAACACAACUGGACUACGUUGAAGAUCUUGAAGAUGUUUCACCUCUCCUCCUCUGAGACACCAUCUUUCACCAACCUACAAUGCUGUUUUGAAUUCUCUCACAAACCAACUGAAUCCCCCGUCCCACCUUGGAACACGUGACCCCAACGACCCACAAACAGCUGGGAGGAUUUACGACUAUAGGAGAAACCAGGUCAGCGACUCGGGUAACGACUCUCAUGUAAUGAUCCACAAAGGGUUACAUUUCUAGCUCCUUACAAACAAAGAUGUUGUCGGUUGGCUGGUCUGGAAGGUUGGACUGACUGCAGGCAGAGGGAGACUCAGGAUAGGGGAUCCUUCUUAAGCGUAAUUCUGCCCCGAGCUGAGAUGGAUGAGGAAGGAGGUUGAAUGGAUGAGAGGAAGGGAAGGGAGGGUGGGUUGUCGAAGAACUGAGACAAACGAUGUGGAGUGGGAUGGCUCAGUACAAGUAGGCUUGUCAGGUGAUUGGAGGUGUGGCUUGGGCAUAGUCCUGCUCCCGAACCUAAGUUAAUAUACAUUAACCCCCAUUUAAGUUUAGAACUGAAGAAGACUUUCAGAGGAGAGGUGAAACAUCUUCAAGAUCUUCAACCAAGUCCAGUUACCUUUGGAUGAAGCUUUGAAUUUUGUUUAGUGUCUUUGAGUGUUCAGAAACCUCCUAAGGCUCAUGAAUUAUUAUUAUUUUAAAACUCUGAUUUACUGUAGGGUUCAAAAGCAACGCUGCUAUCUAAUCACUUUCAACUGACAAUCUCACUCCUACCUGAGGGCAGAAUUUCAUAUUUUUUUUACAAUAAAAUGUUUCA